UACCAGCACCCCGAGUGGUCGGGGCGUUUAUUGGGCCUAAAGCGUCCGUAGCCGGUUCUACAAGUCUUCCGUUAAAUCCAGCUGCUUAACAGAUGGGCUGCGGAAGAUACUAUGGAGCUAGGAGGCGGGAGAGGCAAGCGGUACUCGAUGGGUAGGGGUAAAAUCCGUUGAUCCAUUGAAGACCACCAGUGGCGAAGGCGGCUUGCCAGAACGCGCUCGACGGUGAGGGAUGAAAGCUGGGGGAGCAAACCGG
RNAcentral lists this ribosomal RNA (253 nucleotides) under uncultured bacterium. RNAcentral's name for it is "partial 16S ribosomal RNA". It matches the Rfam family "Archaeal small subunit ribosomal RNA", at positions 474 to 727 of the family's 1478-position model. The record is from RNAcentral.